Molecule: ribosomal RNA, 507 nt
Filed under: uncultured bacterium
Lineage: Bacteria
Description: bacterial SSU rRNA
Rfam family: Bacterial small subunit ribosomal RNA
Source: RNAcentral
AGAGUUUGAUCAUGGCUCAGAUUGAACGCUGGCGGCAUGCCUUACACAUGCAAGUCGAACGGCAGCACGGGAGCUUGCUCCUGGUGGCGAGUGGCGAACGGGUGAGUAAUACAUCGGAACGUACCCUGAAGUGGGGGAUAACGUAGCGAAAGUUACGCUAAUACCGCAUAUUCUGUGAGCAGGAAAGAGGGGGAUCGCAAGACCUUUUGCUUUAGGAGCGGCCGAUGUCGGAUUAGCUAGUUGGUGAGGUAAAGGCUCACCAAGGCGACGAUCCGUAGCGGGGUCUGAGAGGAUGAUCCGCCACACUGGGACUGAGACACGGCCCAGACUCCUACGGGAGGCAGCAGUGGGGAAUUUUGGACAAUGGGCGCAAGCCUGAUCCAGCCAUGCCGCGUGAGUGAAGAAGGCCUUCGGGUUGUAAAGCUCUUUCGGUGGGGAAGAAAUUGCUUCGGUUAAUACCUGGAGUAGAUGACGGUACCCGCAUAAGAAGCACCGGCUAACUACGUG